AUCUCAUGUUCAGCAUGUUGUCCUGAUUUUAUCAUUCUGUUAUGUGAAUGCAAGAAAGUCACUCACAGACUAGAGCAAGAAGUCGAGAACUAGUGGUAAGAUGGGCUGCCUGUAUUACCAUGGAUACAUACAGAUGGACACUUUGUGACCUCACCUAGUGAGACAGCCCCACAGCCUGGCUACCUAGUAGCUUCAACAAGCGUGAAACAACCACUCCCUAGAAACACAAGAUUACAAGGUCCCAGGCACCCGGCAAAACAAAUUCUGGUGGCCCCAUCACAGAAGAGGGAAUUGUAACCACACAUAUGCGGAGUGCUGACUCUGAAGUCAAGCAGCUACAAAUGCUAGGACUGAAACUGCUGCUGGAUAGCAAAACCUGUGAUUCCCCAAUGGUUAUAGGAAUGCCUUCACUAUCUUCUGCUUCCUCCACAUAUUGAGAGACUUGUAUACCUCAUCAGAUGAGAGAAAGGCAGAGAAAUAGCUUAAUGGGAAAGCAGAAAAAGAAAGGGAAAGCAGCAAGGGCCCAAAAGAAUAUCGGAAAAACAAACACAUAUGAGUACUUAGGAACAAGCAAGAGCUACCAGAAAGAUGAGUAAAAGACAAAAAAUAUUUCUGAAGAAAACCAGCCACAGAGAAGAGUCAAUUUUAAAAACUGUGAUGAGAAUCACUAAACAUGUGAGAAUUAUUGUAUCUUCUACAUGCAUUUUUCUAUGUAUUUAUGUAUUUAUGUCAUUCUAAUCAUCAAUGUCUCUGGAUUUUACUUCAAAAUAUGUAGGGAAAAGGAGUGCUGGAGUAUUACUGAGAUAAUGCUGAAGUAUUACUUCAUACCAGUUCUGCGAUUGAUCAUAGAUAUAACAACAAGCUCAGAUCAUCCACCAGGAAUAAAUUUCACAGAACAAGUGCUUUUAGAAAUACAGAUACGGAAAAAAAUGAAAGAAAAUCCAUUAUAUUAUUCUUCCAACAGGAUAUCCAAAAUCUCCAAACUGGCAUCAGACAGAUUUUCACCUUUAUGGUUAAUUUCCUCUCAUCUUACUUUCCUUUCUGUACUCUGACCUUACGAACCAUAUGGUUCCCUCCAGAAUAAUUCUGGCACUGUUCUUAUUUUUGUUUUCUUUCCAAUUUUAGCUACAUGUGCCAUUAGAGCACCUAUUUAGAAUCAAUGCAGAUUGAUUAAUAUAAUAUUGUGCCUUCCAGAAAGAGGAAGAGAAAGAAAAUGAACAAAAUAUGUGGGAGAGAGAAGUAGUGAGAGUAGAGUUGGAAACAUCUGGCAAUGUAUGCAUGUUCUGGAAUUCAAACAGAUUAUUAAAUCUGUAACUUAGUAACGUAAUACAUACGAUUCUGAAGUACUUAGCAUUGAGUGGUGACAAAAUAAGAUAGCCUUUUGCAAAGGGAAUAUAAAAUCACUACUUGCUUUUAGUUUCAGUCUUAUCCAAAUUAACAGGCCAGUAAAGUUUUGAUAAUUUAUGAUCCAGUAUGAUAUAAACACAUGUCUUGUGUUAAAGUCAUCUUUUCUACCAUGACAACAUACUGUAUGUUUUGGAAGUUACCACUUAUGAAAAAGUACCACAUAGAGGCAAGAACUGCACUGGUAGUGUUUUGACUAAGCAAGCAGACAUAAAUCACAUUAUACCGGAUAAAAAAAUUGUUUAUGAUGAAAAUAUAGAAGGUUAGUGAUUAGAAAAAGUAAUUAGCAGAAAAUAAUGUAAGGAAGAUUAUCACCUAAGCAAAGACAUUACUGCUGUUUGCCAGAGUAUCAAUUUCAUAGCCUUUGCCCAGUCCUUCAUUUGAUAAAUUUACAAAUGUGUAAUGAAUUCCUUUAAAAGAUUACCAUGACAAACAACAUUAUAAUGAAAUUUUUUACACUGCUGCAGUUAAUACUGCAUCUGCAAUUUUGCUUUAAUUCCUAACUACAAAGAUUCAUAACUCUGUGGUAAAAGCACUCCAGAAUGAAGCUUGGCAUACCAAAGUUCAGUCAUAAACGCUGUGUUUCAAAUAGGAAGAAAAAUGUGUUCAAGUUUAAAGUUCUGAUACAAAAGUAUGAUAUUGUAAAAGUUAUUUUAUUAUUUUAACACUAAGAAACAUGUCAAGAUUGUGUGUGCCUUUUUCUAAUGUUUUUGUGUGUGUGUUUGUUUUUUUUAUAAAAAAUAGAUUUAUCGUGAUAAACUGAUGGUAUUUAAAAUUUUUCAGAAAUGUUUUGGUCCUGUACACAUAUCCACUACUUUGUCUGCAAGUAUUCUGCAGUGAUUUUUAGCCUACUAAUUAAAGCCUCUAUAUACAAAUGGUUUUGACUACAACACCAUUAAGUUCUUAUUGUAUCUCUUUUUUUUUUUCAGUUAUCCAUGAAAUAUGAUGAAUAAUGUUAAGUUCAGACAGAGAUAAAUGUGAGAAACUUUAGAAGGAAUAAUGGACUUUCAAAAUUAAUACUGUUUUUUUACCUUAUUCACCCUCACAGAGCUGCUACAGUUUCAUCAGAAAGUCACUCUACCAUGAGUAACAUAAUGAACAUAAAUAAUACCUUUGUUUUUCACAAAAUGUAUUGCAACUUUUCUAUUGUGGACAAUCAAAAUGAUGAGCACUUGUCUCUGCUAGUGAGAAAGCCUUGUAUGGCUUUUAUUUAAGCACUUACUACCACAGACCUGUUUCUCCUGAAUGAUUUCACAUAAGCUCCAGGUUUCUUUCAACUCAGAGUCCUGAAUCCUAAAUGGCAGGCAUUCAUUUCUGUUGAGAUGCCAUCUCACGACACACUGGUUUUGAUGUGGUAAAAAGACAACGGUAAAUUUUAUUUUGUUGGUGUUGUGAUUACAUUAUUUUGACUUUGAUGUGAGGAAUGUGUAUGGUUGGUGUAAGAAAGUUUGUGCAGAUUGUAAUGAAUGUAUAUUUUAAUGAUUUAUCCUCAACUAGUUUUAAAUUGCACUUCUGCCAAACAAAUAAGUGGCUUCAUAAUUAUAAUUUGGCUCCUCUUAUUCACUGUAUAAGAAAAAAAAAAAAAAAAAACAUUAUAAGCACCUCACAAAUGCUGAAGAAGGGACAUCACUUAGAGUAAUUCUUAAUUAAAAGCCACUCUCUAUAAGUUUCCAUUCAAUGUAUCACAUUAAAUUAACUGUUCGGAAAUCACCAAAAAGAGAGAACAUUAAAAAAAAAAAAAAAAAAAAAAGUUGUAAAAUGCAAAUUUUAAAAUACACUGGGAGGAUAAAUGUCAUUUUUAAAUUGGAUAUCAUUGCCUUUGCUAACAACAACAUGAGAUUUACAAGACUGAGAAAGAAAAAGGUAAAUUAAUUUUCACCAUUUGUGUUGUUCAUUGCCAAAGGCCAGUCUCUGCUGAGAGAGAGUAUGUACCUACACCUGGUAGCAUGUGAGUAUGUUCACAACUACCUUCCCCAAAAGAAGCAAAGGAAAAUGGCAUUAAAAAAAUCCAAUGACACAAUUUAUUAGCAAUAGGAGAAAUAUAGUUUUCCAAAGCAAUUAGCUUUGCAGUGAUAGCAAGAAGUAAUACUGAUCACAAGGUACAUGAAACCAGAAAGAGUUAAACGUUUGCUGUAAAGAAAAAAAAAGGCAGCUUGCCAAUUUUAUCAUCUCAGCAGAGCUACUACAGCAAAACAGCUACUAUAGCAAAAGAGCUUCCUUUUUCCCACAGCAGCAGGAGAUCUCCAGAUGAUUUUAAAAUCUAGGAUUAAUUAUUAUAUAUCACUCUAGGCUAUCUUUUCUGUUUAUAACAAAUGUAGUAGGGGCUGAA
Molecule: long non-coding RNA, 3733 nt
Organism: Gallus gallus (chicken)
Lineage: Eukaryota; Metazoa; Chordata; Aves; Galliformes; Phasianidae
Exons: 3
Source: RefSeq, a predicted model, not a curated record